UGAAGAGGGGAUACGCUACCCAGAUGGAGUCGGGAUUGGAGAAUACUCAACUGAAUGGUCCACGCCACCAUCACCAAAACAACACCUUGAGAAAGACUUGAACUGACCUUAACUGUACUUUCGAAGCCGCCUUUCCCAUAAACCUCAUAUGUCGGGCCUGGCCUGAAGAAGCCCAACACAAACUACAAGCCUGAGCCUGGCCCAACGUCCAAAAGGUUUAUUUUCUCAAGCCCAAGCCCAACCACGAAGCCCAACACAAACUACAAUCGCAAAGCCUGAAAGCGUGGCCCGCAUGUUGUUUUUUCCGGUGCGCGUACAUGUAAGCCCGCCCGAAAAGUUGCAAAAAUAGAAGCCCGGCCCAAUCCGCCCCGGAUAUUCUUUUGGGCCGCAGAACAGAACCCAAGCCCGGCCCGAAAGGCCACGUCCCUGAGCCUAAGGACUGAUUUGUGCGAGCCCAACAAGCCCAAUAGCUGCGCGAGUAUUUUGUUUCCACUCCGUCUGAACAUAUCAAUGGUAGUCCCUUCGUCUCAAAAAAAAUAAAAAAAUCAAUGGUAGUCCCCCGCCGCACCUAAGCCGCCGCCGGUGAACUCGACGGGAACCACCCUUCACGCCCCUGCUUCUCUGCGGCUGGCCUUCGUGGACCCUACCAAUCUACCGCCCACCAUGGCGUCUGCUCGCUUUCUGCGACCUUUUAUCCCCAGUCCAACCACAAGCGCACACCCCUCGCCUCCCCCUUCCCCUCCAGCAACGGCCGCACCCGCCGGCCGGGGGUAUUUAGCCUGCGGUCGCCAGUUCGUCUGCGCACUUAAUCUGGUUCGGGCAAUAGUUGCAUUUUUAAAUGACAGCGGAUAGAAGACACCGAAGACAAGUAUUGCCUGUGAUAUGGCACUGUAAUGACCGCCUGGAGUAUGAGAUGGAGGAGGAAGAAGAACCUGGUCAAAAGUUUGGAGCGGCAAAAGGCGAACUACAUUUAUAAGAUGCGUACAUAUCAUAUUACUUGAUGUCUCAGUAGCAGUAUCAUUAUUCAGUGAUGUUCACUUCCUUUUUUCUGAACCGCGUUGUUAUUUCCUCGAUGUCUUCUGAACACUGACUCUAUGUUCCCUUCCCAAAAGCAGGAGAAAACAUGUAUGGAUUUAUAAAGACAGUUAGAAGGAACUGAAAACAUUGGCUGCGACAUGCCGCUAUGUUGAACCCCUGAGUAUGAUCUGUCGGCUCCGGAUUGAUGGUCGAUGGCAGCACAUGUGUCUUUGGCAACGGGCAUACGCUACAGUAUCCAAAAUACAGGUAUGUACAAAUACAAGGUUGUAAAAGACCUCUUUCCUACACAAAUGCAAAAGCGCAAGUUGACGAGAUAUGAAUCACCUACCUUCUUUUAUAUCCUGGUGGUGUGGUUUCUUUGUAUCGAGUGUGGCACGGCGCUUGCCGGGUAAAGAAGGCACUACCAGUUGCCGACUCCUCGGGAGUUCUUUGGCGUCGAGCGCGGCAAGCAGCAGGGGGAGAGCAGCCGCUGCUGUAGCUGCUUUUUAUUAUUGCUCUUGGGAUGAAGCAGCUGUUUCUGCGCUAGAUUUGGAUGGAUACACAGCAAAGCAGAAACAGGCUGUGAGAUUAUAAGGACGAAAUGUGUGGCGGACCCUAGCAGAAAAAAAGAAAAAGAAAUGUGUAGUGGAGAAGAACCAACUUCUCUUCAGUUGGACAACUAGUUACAGCGUCUUGUUUUCUCAAACGAAGACUAUCAGUUUGUUGAGAAUCUUCGCCAAGCUGUAAAUUCGUAUUUAUAUUUCGUUUGAGUAAACCGAGUUCUAUGCAUAUGUGUCUGAUUUGCUUUAUUCGUAAAAGGUGGUGAAAUAGAGAGAAAAGAGGUGUUUAUUAUAUA
Triticum urartu is the source of this 1873-nucleotide non-coding RNA. The record is from RefSeq and is a predicted model, not a curated record. Lineage: Eukaryota; Viridiplantae; Streptophyta; Magnoliopsida; Poales; Poaceae.